This is a long non-coding RNA of Homo sapiens (human), 1090 nucleotides long. The record is from Ensembl. NCBI's taxonomy places the organism in Eukaryota, Metazoa, Chordata, Mammalia, Primates, Hominidae.
CAGAGAACAUUUAGGAGGGAACUGUAAGGAACAAAAACAUUUGCUGGGUGGGCAGAAGAGAGAGCCUGGGAGGAAAUAUCAGGGGCUGUGAACAAGAACCAGGGAGAAGAAACGUUCAGGGAGGAAACAGCAGUCACAAGUGACAGAGAUUGGUGGUAAAUUACAUCACCUAUGUCAGAAAGGGUCCCUUAGACCUGCCAAUUAGGAGGCUUGGGUAUCGUAGCCUUAGCUAGAAUAGUUUCAGUGGAUUGGUGGGCUAUGGACUGAAGACAGAAGGUUAAGAAGCAAAUGUAGCAAUUGUAGAACAUGGUUUCAAGAAGUGCAGCCAUGAAAACAACAGACAGAUUUCAUUUAGAAAGGCAAGGUCAAAGGAGUUUUUUUACUUUUUUUUUUUUUUUUUUUUUAGAAGAAAGGCAGCUUGGAAUCUGUAUAAAUGAAAGAGAGAGAUAGAAUGGGUAAAAAUGAUUGAUGGAAGAAUUUUGACCUACUGGGUUUGAGCGCGAAAGCUCACCAGUUGACGGGAUGCUUGGGGAUUUGCAACCGCCUCAUCGCUGCCCCCUACCGGCGCAUAUUCAAAACGUCUCUGCGAAAAGCUGUUAUUACCUUCGGAGCCAACAGGGGCUGCUCGUUUACCCACAGACAGUCGGAAAAAAAUGGCCGCCGGAUCACAGAGAGCAAAAAGCAGGGCUAAUCUUCCGAAGAGGAAUCCCACUACUGCCUCCUUAUAAGGGAAAAACUCCUCUCAGAGGAACCCAGAACGCCCUGUGAUGACAGAGGUGAGGGGCCAGCGUGGCAGAAUGCACCACCCUGUCUCCUCGCUUGCUUCUCUCUCCGUCGGAUUGCCAAAAAGGGAACGGCACCUAGACGCCGAAAAGUAACUGAAGCAAAGGGAGUUUAAAGAACGCGCCCAGCCGCCUGGGUCUUGAACCCAGUGUUAAUGAGAGCAAAAACCUCUGCAUCCUCCACUGAGCUGUCCUUGAGCAUGUCUCAUAAUCAUGCUUCAUUUUAAAAACAGAAAUAAUUCAUUGCAUUUUGAACAAGGAUAACUGUCAGAAAAGAUCCUCUUUGAAUAAAACAGGUAUCUCCCCCA